Molecule: RNA transcript, 3588 nt
Organism: Oreochromis aureus
Lineage: Eukaryota; Metazoa; Chordata; Actinopteri; Cichliformes; Cichlidae
Gene: ccdc40
Gene name: coiled-coil domain containing 40
Exons: 20
Source: RefSeq, a predicted model, not a curated record
CGACUGGCGUCUGACUGAGACUGCGCAGACGCCAGCUACGGAAGUUUACGGUUGCCUAGUAACCUUAAUCAACUGUACCCGUAACGCUACCGUGUUUUAGGUCCAAUGCAGAACCCAGGAGAUGAGGAUGGAAGGGAGGAAAGCUCCACCCGAAAUGAGACAGGGCCCAACCUGCAGGAUGGAAGUGACGACGCAGAAGAAGACAGUGGAGCGACUGCCUCACAUGUUCCAGAGGUUCAGUCACUGCCACAGCCAGAGAGCUCUGCUGCCCAGCAUUACCCUGACCUCACUGUAGUGGAUGAAAACCUCCCUGCGGCCAUAAAUUUAAUGCAAGAGGAUGUUGCUCAGGUGGCUCACCGUUCACACACAUCGGAGGAGAUGGAGGAUGAUGAGCCACUGCCAGAAGACGAGGAGGAGGAGUUAAUCGUUCUUGAUCCUGAGCAUCCUGUGGUCAGAAGACAACAAGCUGCUCUGACAAUCCAGCUUAGAAAACAGCUGGAGAGGAUCAACCAGGCACUGAGGGAAAAGCAUGCAGUUGCAAAGGAUGAUGCUAGCCACAAUCAGGAAUUAGGUGUGGAGGUCUUCAGGCUUCAGGAGCAGCUGGUCAGACAGCAGAACAGGCUGCAUGACCUUCAUGAGACCAAGACACAGGCUGAAGCCAAACACCAGCAGGCUCUGAACCAGCUGGAGGAGAUAAAGAGUCAACAUUCCAGCAUGACCAGAAAGGUCUGUGAAGCCAGAGCCAAUGUGUCCCAGCUACAGGCACAGUUAGACAGCAUGACACAGUAUCUCAUCUUCAUCCAAGGAGUCAGCGAAGGUCUGCGCUCUGAAGUCAAAACCAUGAAUAACGCUAGACGCAAAGCAGGAGCUGAGAAGACCCAGGCAGAAGACCAGAAAUUAAAGCAGGAUUUAUAUGUGGAGAGACUAACAAAGGAGCUGGACAGGCUGACGCAGCAGAUAGCCAUGUAUGAGGCCAAAACCAGUGCUCAAGCAGAGGAGACACAGACAGCCAAAGAGGCUCUCUCAGAGGCUGAGAUGGAGAUGGAGUCACUGUUGGUGGCCCGUAAACAGCUGCUGCAGCAGUGGAACAGCUGCCUCAUGGGGUUGAGGAGACGAGACGAGGCCUUUGGUGCGAUGCAGGAAGUCAUCCGUGAAACCAAACACCAGGUGAUCUUGCUGGACAAGGACAUUGAUGGCUACAAGAAAUCCAUCAAUGCAGAGCAGGAGCAAAAUGAGAUACUGACACUGCAGCUGAACUGGUCUCAAAUGGACUGCACCACUACCAGAAAGCUCAUCAGUGACAAGCAGGCUCAGCAAGAAUCCCUGCAGGCCCACUACAGCACAUUCCUCCUCACUCUCCAGGAGACAGAGCGGACCCUCGCUAGACUCUCAAAGGAAUUUGGGUCACACCAGGGUCAAGUGAACGAUCAGAGUAAGCAGCUGGAGAAAGAGAGUUCUGCGCGUCUGGAGCUGGAAAACAACAUCAUGAGCUCCAUGCAGCAUAAGCUCCUCCACAACAGCGCUGCCAAGUACUCCCAACUGCUCACCGAGAAGAUAUCCAGACUCAAAAAAGAGAAGAUGUACCAGUUGAAGCAGUCAGAGGAGGAGGUGUUGGUGGUGAAGCUGGAGAGCCAGCUGGUCAGCCAGCGAGUGGACAGCCUGGCCCUGACUCAGGAGGCCCUUGAUCAGGAGAUCGCAAAGUCCAACAAGUUAAUCACAGCCAUUCAGGCUAAGGUUACUUCAUCUGUUAGAGUCAUCGAGCAGAAGCAGUCAACAAUCAUCGGAUACAACAAGAAGAUUUCUCAAAUAGCUGCCAGCACUGGGCAUGAUGACCUCGGUCCUCUGCACAUCAAGAUACAGUCAAUAAUAGCUCAGAUUGAGGAGCUGGCAGCAAAUAUAAAGAGCUACCAGCAGCUGUGGAUGAAGCGACAGGGGAUACUGAUGGGACUGACCCAAACGAUAGAAGCCAACAGCAAGGAGCUGCUCAAACUGCAGACGGAGUACACAGGAUGGCAACAGACGAAACUCUACUUUGAGAGUCAGAUAGAAUCAGAGCACCGCGAGGAGGCUGAGCUGGAGAAGAGCUCAAAGAUGCUGAAGCGUGAUCAGCUGAAGCUCAACAUGCUGCUCAGUAGGAAAGGACAACUGAGCCAGGCUCUGCAGCAGGAGAACGCCGUGAUGGAGACAGAUUUCAUUCACAGACUUAAGGAUGCAGAGAGGGAGGCCGUUAAGAUGCAGAUGAAACUCGAGAAGACGCAGGAGGAAAAAGAGAGGCUCCUCAACAGUCUGGUGGAAGCUGAGCGGCAAAUCAUGCUGUGGGAAAAGAAGACGCAGCUUGUAAAAGAGAUGCAUUCAGCUAUGGAUGUGGGGCAGGGAGAAAGCCACACGAUGAAAGCUGAAAUACAUCGUAUGGAGGCGCGACUCAGCCAGCUAAUGAAGCAACGAGAGUGCCUGCUGAGGGAAAGCGAAGCAACAGUGGCGAGAAGGGAAACCAUCGUCUUGCGCAAGGAGGCCAUGAUGAGGAACUCCCUCAAACAGGCUACACAGGGUGACCUGAGCCUCUCUAUACAGGGCCUACAGCGCAAGAUCCGGGAAGCACACAAGCAAGUGGUAGAGUAUGAGCAAGUGAUUGGGGAGCUACAAAAACAGAAGGAGAGUUUGAGAGACAGGAUCGCGCAGAAGAAGACUCAUCUCACAGAACUGUGCAGCACCAGUUACAUCCUCGACUCUGACUUUGUUAAUCUUCAGGACACCAAAGAAAGGAACCUAGCACACCUAGUGGCUCUGCAGAGUCGGGCCAAGAGGUUGCGGACAGUGUGUGAAGGCAGCUAUCGAGCAGUGUCCACCCCCGAAUCCGUGGAAGCCGCUCUGCAGAGGCAGACGGAGCGCUUGCAUGCCAUCAGCACCAUCUUGCACCGUGUAUGUGAGGAGUUCCCCCAACAUCAGGGGGCGCUCCGCAGGCUGUCACGAGCACUGUCUGAACAUGCAAAGGCUGUGGAAUAGGAAACAUCCCGAAGUGAUGGAGGAAGGACGCAGGAAGGAAAAUGCACAGGACUGACAUUUCUGUUUGCUUUUACAUUGGAGAAAUUAUAAAAAUGAUAUAUACUUCAAACAGUGUUCAGUAACUCAGAAGCACUCAAGAAAUAGUAAAAGCACACUCAUGACCAGGUGAGUGAACUGCCUUUGUUCAGCUCAGUCCUGGAAGAAAUUCAUGCAUUUUGUUGUAACAGUCAACUUCAUCAGGCUAAGGCAGCCACAUUAACACUUUCAGUGAAGGUAAAGUGGAAUCUUUAACAAAUUUCUGAAAAACCAGGGGCGACCGAGCCUUUUCCCUCACAAAUUGUGGCAUGAUCUCCCUGCCCAGCACCCUUGUUAUCUUAAAAAUAUAUCUUAAAACUCUUUUUAUUCUUUGGCUUUUAAUUCCAAAUGAGAGUGGUGUGCCCUUUUAUUUUAUUUACAGUAGUAUUUUUAUCACUGUUGUUAUUGCUGAUUUUUUGUGUAGUGUUUUGGGGAUUUGUACAGCACUUUGUCAAACUUGUGUUUUUAAAAAAGUGAUGUAAAUAAAUAUAUACAGUAUGAAUCAUAAAA